RNAcentral lists this long non-coding RNA (208 nucleotides) under Lathyrus oleraceus (garden pea). RNAcentral describes it as "Pisum sativum (pea) long non-coding RNA (PSAT_LNC003142)". Lineage: Eukaryota; Viridiplantae; Streptophyta; Magnoliopsida; Fabales; Fabaceae. The record is from RNAcentral.
UCGGCUUGGCAUUCUACCCAGCAUUUCGCAUCCCUGCAUGUAGAAUCAUAUUGCAUUGCAUCCUCCUAAAUCGCGUAGCAUUUCCAUUUUCAUGGAGCAUUACGCCAUUGAAAAAUUCAAACAUACGCAUGUAAGCAUAAAACAUUCUCGGUAUCCCAAGUGAUAAGCCAGAAGUUGUUUCCAGUACUCAGACUGAAGAUUGUUCAUG